AUUGAACGCUGGCGGCAGGCCUAACACAUGCAAGUCGAGCGGUAGAGAGGAGCUUGCUUCUCUUGAGAGCGGCGGACGGGUGAGUAAUGCCUAGGAAUCUGCCUGGUAGUGGGGGAUAACGUUCGGAAACGGACGCUAAUACCGCAUACGUCCUACGAGAGAAAGUGGGGGAUCUUCGGACCUCACGCUAUCAGAUGAGCCUAGGUCGGAUUAGCUAGUUGGUGAGGUAAAGGCUCACCAAGGCGACGAUCCGUAACUGGUCUGAGAGGAUGAUCAGUCACACUGGAACUGAGACACGGUCCAGACUCCUACGGGAGGCAGCAGUGGGGAAUAUUGGACAAUGGGCGCAAGCCUGAUCCAGCCAUGCCGCGUGUGUGAAGAAGGUCUUCGGAUUGUAAAGCACUUUAAGUUGGGAGGAAGGUCAGUAGCUUAAUACGUUGCUGAUUUGACGUUACCGACAGAAUAAGCACCGGCUAACUCUGUGCCAGCAGCCGCCGUAA
This 500-nucleotide ribosomal RNA is filed under the name uncultured bacterium. RNAcentral describes it as "partial 16S ribosomal RNA". It matches the Rfam family "Bacterial small subunit ribosomal RNA", at positions 30 to 523 of the family's 1533-position model. The record is from RNAcentral.